RNAcentral lists this ribosomal RNA (253 nucleotides) under uncultured bacterium. RNAcentral describes it as "partial 16S ribosomal RNA". It matches the Rfam family "Bacterial small subunit ribosomal RNA", at positions 524 to 776 of the family's 1533-position model. The record is from RNAcentral. RNAcentral also lists the same sequence under 1 other name.
UACGUAGGGGGCGAGCGUUGUCCGGAGUUACUGGGCGUAAAGGGCACGCAGGCGGUGCUGCGCGUUUCGCGUGACAGCGGGUGGCUUAACUACCCGAGGGUGCGAAAGACGGCAGGACUUGAGGGCCAGAGAGGGACACGGAAUUCCGGGUGGAGUGGUGAAAUGCGUAGAGAUCCGGAGGAACACCGAAGGCGAAGGCAGUGUCCUGGCUGGUGACUGACGCUGAGGUGCGAAAGCCAGGGGAGCGAACGGG